Pan troglodytes (chimpanzee) is the source of this 2873-nucleotide long non-coding RNA. RefSeq lists it as uncharacterized. The transcript is spliced from 5 exons. Lineage: Eukaryota; Metazoa; Chordata; Mammalia; Primates; Hominidae. The record is from RefSeq and is a predicted model, not a curated record.
UAUGAGAAAACUGCUUGAUUUUCUUGGCAAGGUACAAUAAAUUGUGUCAAGUUCAGAAACUUUGGAAUCGCUUUGAUUUGCUUCAGUGAGGCUCCUGUGAUCACUGGUGGGUACUGAUAUACUUUCUGUUUUGCUUAACUUUUCAAUACAGGAUACAUGAUGCCUUAUUUUUCCUUUUCCUCUUUCAUUCCUAAAAGGAGAGUGUGAAUGGCAUUUGACAUCAACCACUUCAUCAUGUGUAGGCACAGGACUAUCAUUUCUCUCUUGGUUUUCUGAGUGGCUUACAAUAAACUGAUUCUUUUGGUUCUUCCCAGCAUUGUCUUUUUCUUCUCUUUCUCCUAGCGAUGGAUCUUUGUCUGAAGGACUUCUCCUGGAGAACACUGUAGUAGAUGGAACCACAGGAGCAUCAAGGGAAGAAUUCUUUGAUGGUGAGGAAUCUGGUAGUGCAGCUGAUGACAGAUCUAAAGAAUCACACGAGGUCUUGUGGCCAGGAGUCAACUUGCAUUUUGAGUAUUGUGCAUUUUGAGUAUCAGUCGGUGCAGAGCUCCAGUGGUUAUUUGUAAUAAUUCUUGAAAUAUCUUCAUUAUUUACAGUUAAUUCCUGGUGACAACCUUGGUCUGUCCUGGGGAAAGAUGGUGGUGUUCUGUGUUCCUGAAUGAAAGGAAGGGAAGCUGUUGAGCCAAGUUUUCUGUUUUCAGUAAACCUCUUAUCUUGUUUAAUGUCAUUGGAUUUAUCUGUGUGCGGUAUAUACAUUUUGGAGGUAUCUUUCCUGGAAAAGACUCUGGGUGACUUUUUUGAACUUAUUAUGGUAGAUGCAUUAAAACCAAACCCGUUGCUCUUGGCUGAGUCCUGGGAUAAGGGAUUUUGAAAAUCAGGUAAAGAGUUUGAGAUCCCUGUCUGUGAAACAGGUUGGGGUAUUUCACCUGCCUUGUUUGUCUGGUCCAUCUUGCUUAGCUGUUUGUCUUCUGAAAUAGAUUCAUUUAAGUCUUUCUCAUUAUUCACUUCUGUGACCAAGAUAUUGGGCUGGCUUUUGGCAAGAGGCAGAGAGUCAACUGAAUUGCUGUUGGUCACAGUGACUUCUGUAUGGCUUCUCACUGGAUGAGAGGCAGGCUUAUUUGGAAAAAUUUUCUGCAAAGUGACUGUGGGAUUCUGCAAGUUGGGACUCUGAGGAUUCCUUCUGUCAUCAGAAAUCUGGGAAAAGGAAGUUUUGAAUGAGGAUGCUAGAGUCUGAGCAAUUCCAAAUGAGCAAGCUUCUUUGUUUAUAUGUACUUCUACAGGAGAACUGUCCUGUUGACUUACCAACUCACUAGAUUUGACGUGAUAGCUUGAACCAGUCAUGGAGCAAACAUUUGGUGUGCCAAAAUGAGGAGUCAACUGGGUCUCCUUACCAUGUGAUACCACCAUGCUAUCCAGUGUGGAUCUCUGAAAAUCAAACUGCCAGGGAUGUGGCUCUUCUUGGCCUCUGGAAACAUCUGUUCCAUAACCAGAAGAAAAUGAUUCCCAGUGUUCAGAAGAAACAUUAUGGCCAUGAAUGGCUGAUACACUAUUUGCUUCCAUGGAAAUCAUUUCAAAGUCUCUGUCAGAAGAAUUGAAUGAUUUCCUGCUUCGAUGAAAGUCAGACCAGAAAGAAUGUCCUUUCUCUCGGCCCCAAAAAGGACCUUGUCCAAAUCUCCUCUGUUCUCCGCUUCGUCCAAAGGUUGCUACAAUAUUUCCAGCUGUGUAUACCUCCUGGGAUCAUAAUAGAAAUGAACCUCUGCUGGAGUGCAGUGGCAUGAUCUCGGCUCAUUGCAAUCUCCGCCUCCCAGGUUCAAGCACUUCUCCUGCCUCAGCCUCCCAAGUAGCUGAGAUUACAGAACACUGAGUGUGACAGUCAAGCCCUUGAUGGCUUCAGCAAGUAGAAACCUGACUGUUGCCUGCAGAGGAUGACUAUGUGUCCCUGGGCCAUUAGUCAGUCCCUCCCAGGGUGCUCGUAGACAAAAACAGCCUCGGGUGAAAGCUGGAAGUGAAAAACCCUCCAUUCACCCAAGAGGGGAGGACAGUGGUCUGCUAAAUCCAGCAGCCUCAUCACACAACCCACCAGCUGCUUGCUGCCUCUUGUUUCUCAGCGACAGUGACCUCCAACAGCUUUUAUUUAGUGCUGCAAUACACCGUGUGGUUUGACGGCACGCGGAACAUAUCACGUGCCAAGCCAACACCUUAAGAGGGUGGGAAGCUUUGAAACCAGGAAGACAUGCCGAAAAUAUUUAGCAGUCAGCUCAAUUGCACUUAAGCAUAGCCUUGCUUGUUUUUCACAAAGUAAUCCAACAACGUAAUGAGUCAAGUGAACUGAUUUGCACAGUUCUAAACUGGGAACCAUCUGGAACUAAGUUUCCACUGCUCCUAAAGCUUCUCCUCCCUCACCUUAUACAUUCUGAGCAAACACAUGGGAACAGCCUUCAGUAUUUCUAGUAACAGUAAUUACAUUUCCUCCCUCUGUUUUAGAAUUCUAUUUUUCUCUAGUCUCUUUGUUCAUCUCACAUUUUCUCUCAUCUAGUCGUUAUACCCCAACUCUCCUUAUGACCAGGACGUGACCAGGACACAUACUCUGCAAAGAAGGAGUAGUUUUUAUUUAAAUAUAUCUUCCUGGACAGGGCAUAGGCCAGACUCUUGGAGCAGUGGAAAAACUGGCAAUCAUUAUUUCCCAAUAUUUAACCCAUCACUCACCAAAUGCACCACCAAUGCACUCUGCAGCUCGUUAGAAGUUGGAUUUCAGGUGAGCCACAUUUCAUGGUUUCCUAAGAACUUUGUCACUAUGCAAGUUAAGUCCCAUUUCCUUUGUUCUUAAUACCAAUUGAAUUGAAAUUCUAAGAACAAACAUUAAACAUUUUGAACAC